Molecule: ribosomal RNA, 918 nt
Filed under: archaeon enrichment culture clone AOM-SR-A31
Lineage: Archaea
Description: bacterial SSU rRNA
Rfam family: Archaeal small subunit ribosomal RNA
Source: RNAcentral
UUCCGGUUGAUCCUGCCGGAGGCUACUGCUAUCGGGGUUCGAUUAAGCCAUGCAAGUUAAAUGUUCUUCGUGAACAUAGCGAACUGCUCAGUAACACGUGGAUAACCUACCCUUAGGACCGGAAUAACCCCGGGAAACUGGGGAUAAUACCGGAUAAGCCAUAGGCGCUGGAAUGCCCUAUGGUUCAAAGCUCCGGCGCCUAAGGAUGGAUCUGCGGUCUAUCAGGUUGUAGUGGGUGUAACGUACCUACUAGCCGACGACGGAUACGGGUUGUGAGAGCAAGAGCCCGGAGAUGGAUUCUGAGACACGAAUCCAGGCCCUACGGGGUGCAGCAGGCGCGAACACUUUACAAUGCGGGAAACCGCGAUAAGGGAACCCCGAGUGCCAGCAUCAAAUGUUGGCUGUCCGGAUGAUUAAAAAUCAUUUGUUAGCAAGGGCCGGGCAAGACCGGUGCCAGCCGCCGCGGUAACACCGGCGGCCCGAGUGGUAGCCGUUUUUAUUGGGUCUAAAGGGUCCGUAGCCGGCCUGAUCAGUCCUUUGGGAAAUCUGGCAGCUUAACUGUCAGGCUUCUAAGGGAUACUGUCAGGCUUGGGACCGGAAGAGGUAAGGGGUACUCCAGGGGUAGGAGUGAAAUCUUGUAAUCCCUGGGGGACCAUCUGUGGCGAAGGCGCCUUACCAGAACGGGUCCGACGGUGAGGGACGAAGGCUAGGGGAGCAAACCGGAUUAGAUACCCGGGUAGUCCUAGCUGUAAACGAUGCUCGCUAGGUGUCAGACACGGUGCGACCGUGUUUGGUGCCGCAGGGAAGCCGUUAAGCGAGCCACCUGGGAAGUACGGUCGCAAGGCUGAAACUUAAAGGAAUUGGCGGGGGAGCACUACAACGGGUGGAGCCUGCGGUUUAAUUGGAUUCAACGCCGGA